Molecule: transfer RNA, 69 nt
Filed under: Silverstoneia nubicola (Boquete rocket frog)
Lineage: Eukaryota; Metazoa; Chordata; Amphibia; Anura; Dendrobatidae
Description: tRNA-Ala
Rfam family: tRNA
About the family: Transfer RNA (tRNA) molecules are approximately 80 nucleotides in length. Their secondary structure includes four short double-helical elements and three loops (D, anti-codon, and T loops).
Source: RNAcentral
AAGAUUUUAUCUUAAUAAAAGUAUUUGAGUUGCAUUCAAAAGAUGAAAGUUAAUGUCUUUCAAGUCUUA